CAAAGAUCCAGAUACAUCCACGGUCUCUUUUUGUUUCACGUCAUAACUUUUGCUUUUUCCACGAAAUUUCUUUCUCAACUGUUGCAGUUUAUGUUUUUUGUUUUCUGGUUUAAAACUAUGUUUUUUUUGUAUAAUAGAUCUACCAGAAUAAUUUUUCAUAGAUCUCAUCAAUUUAGAUCUAUCAGAAUAAUUUUUCUUUCUCAGGCUUUAUAAUACUUUUAAAAAUUUUAUAUACUCGUAGUUUUUUUUGUUUGGUUAAUUAUAUAUUCUCAUAGUUUUUUUGCUUCUCUGAAUCUUUUUCGAGGCUUUUUGAAAUAUCCUGGUUAAUUGGUUACGCAUAUAGUUUAAGGUGUUUACCUAGAAUUUUUUAUCGUAAAAUUGGAAGUAUUUUUUGCGUGGUGUAAAUUAAUAUUUAUAAACAGUACUGAAUUUUAAUAAGUUUUUUUAUUUUAUUCAAUCUUGAGUACAAUUUAUGUUAAUUAGUAGAUAUGAAUCGUAUAGAAUAUUACUAAGUAGUGACAAUGAAAUUCAGGAUUUUUAUGAAUCUCGUGAUUUUUUAUUAUUAACAAAAGAACUGUAUAUGUCAUAUUGUAUAGUACUAUAAAUUUAAUUUUGCAAAUAUAGAUGAUAAAUAUGACUAUACUAUCUAUUUUAUCAUAAAAAGGGAAAAGUAGUACGAAUGCAGAGAGAAUGAAGGAAAAGUAGCACGAGUUUAGACAGAAUGGAGGUGAAGUACCAUAGUGUUUCAGGAGGAGACUUUUCAUCGCCGUUCUGACAGGUUUUUUUCUCGUUCAUAUAUCCAGAAGGUUGUGAUGUUUCUGAAUCAUUAUUUUCGGGUUUAUGAUAUGUAUGAUCUUGUUUAUUUACCGAAACAUUUUUAGAAUAUACAUAAAUCUUUUUAUAAGUUUAUUUCUCAACAUACAUAGAUCUACAUUUAUAUGAUGUUUAUGAUCCUGUUGAAUAUUAUAUUUAUCGUAAUUAAUUAUAUAGCUAGCUCUAUUUCUUUGUCUAAAUAUCAUGUUUUUUAUUCAAUAAAUUAAAAACUGUCCCAACACAUAUUUUCUUUGUGAAAUUAUGGCCCACGUGUGAACCCACAUAUCUAUGUUAAUUUAUGGCCCAUGUCCUCCCAACCCAUUUUUUAUGUUCCUUCCAAGUAAUGCCGAGUCCGGUUCAUUUGCCUGAGAGCACGGUACACCGUGCGAAUUACCAACGUCGUCAAAACGUGGUAUUGUUUCGCUGAACCGGAUUUGGUGUCAUCGAAACCAGAAUUAAUUCUUACGAUACCGGUAUCAGAUUCACCAUAACACGGGCUGUUCAUUCUCUUAAACCCUAAUAGUGCUUCAUCACUGAUGUUCGCGAAUCAAUCUUCUAUGGCUCAGAAAAGCACUCAACGAAUUGAUUCUUUAGGUUCUGGUUCUGAUUUCGCAAAAAGAUGCAAAAUCUUCUUCGUUUACUCUACAAAUGAGAAUAUAAGAGUGAAAGAAAGCCAUGGAAGGGAGAUUGAGUUGGUGUACCCAUUUUCCAGCAACAGAUCAUACCUAUUCGACAAAGUCUUCAGCUACGAGGAUGGGCAAGAUAAAAUUUUUGCAGCUACAAAACCUGCGAUUAGGUCCCUAUUAGAUGGUCAAAAUGUUUGCCUAUUUUCAUAUGGGCCAUAUGCAUCUGGGAAAACAUGUACUCUGGCUGGAAGAUUGCCCGAGCAUGAAACCAGAGGACUCUCCUACUUGGCAUUAGAAGAGCUUUUUGGAAUCGACCAAAACUUAAAUACCUCCAUUAGCAUGAUGGAGCUCAUUGGCCAAGAUGAAAUAAGAUACCUCUUACCGGAAUAUGUUUCUUCCAAGAGCGAGCUCCUUAGGAGAUCAAGAGGAAUUGAAGACAGUUAACCUGUUGAAAGACGGGUUCGCAAUAGAGAUGAAGCCUUGGAUGUUCUCACUAUUGGGUACUCUGCGAGGAACGAUCCCAGAAACUCUAAUUGCCUUGUGCGUGUCACAGUGAGAAAGAGUACCGUCAAUGGCACAACAAAUAGCUAUCUGUGGCUAGUUGAUUUAGCCUAUAGCGAGCAGAGAGGCAGGAUUGAAAUUGACAGGAAUCUAUCUACACUGGAGGAUGUUCUGUCUGCUCUCUCGUUGGAAUUGCCUCAUAUUCCAUACACCGAUUCCAAGCUCACACAUGUACUCAAAAAUUCUUUAGGGAGAGAUUGUUUAUGUGUGAUAAUGUUGCACAAUUCUCCAAAUACGAUUACAAACACACUCCGUGGGUUGGAUUUCGCCAGCAGCAUCAGAAGAUUGGAUCUGACUAGGAGGAAAGAGGAGCAUUUUUUGGAUUAUAUUAGGUUUAUCACACGUGUGAGACAUCUGUCUUUUGAAAAAAAUCCUCAGUUUAGUCCAUCUAAUCCACAAAUGCCACUGUGGAUAGUAUAUGAUGGGCUUGUCACAGCAGGAAGUCAGAAAAUCUUCAGGACGCUGGAGUAUGUGGCCUAUCAAAACAGCUUUUGUGAGAGGCUCUUUGCUAACAUAGCUACAAAGACUCAACAUUGUGUUGCAAUGGGGCUUCAAUGCUUAUUGGAGAAGCUUCUGUGUAUUGUGUGAAGAAGACCUACUCAGGUGCUUCUGGAGCUUAUGCAAUUGCUCGUGUUCUUUUACCAAUUGCUGCUGCAGCUAUCUACAAGGCAUCAGAGAUGUUUUUGGAAAAAAGACAAAAGGAUAAAGAGAAGAAGAAAGCGAAAAUUGCUUUGGAAGAAACACUACAGCUCAGAUGUGGUGUCUUGCAAGAAGAAUUUGAACGUAAAUUAGCUGCCACUGAAGUUAAAGUGAUGGAAGAACUUGAUCGGCGUAAGUAUAUCAACUGUGGUAUAUCACACACCUAUUAUAAAAUACCUUGGUCAAACAAUUGCAGCUGUAUGUAAAGACCUUUGAUCUAUUAUUACACUAAGAGGAAAAGCAAAGCCAUGUGUCCGUUAUGUGUUGAUCUGAUCUGGCUUGCUUUCAAGGCACUUACGUGCAGGCCUUGUGUGUUAGACUCAUCUACUUGCCUUUUGGAGAAGAUAAUGGUGAAAUUCAGAAGUGGUUUGGUGGACUUAUCUUUUCCCAGACUUCAGCGUGGUAAUUAUAGAAUCGGUCUAUCUCAGCAUCAAAGAGAACGAGACAUCAACCAUUUUUUGUCUGGAUGGUUUGGUGAGCGAGAAGUUUAUGAGAUAAAAGCAUCCUACACAGCUUUGUUUGGUCAAGAUAUGUGAUCAAGAAAGAUGGGGAAAAGAAGAGCCAAAUCCUCACCUGCAAAACUCGGGUGAAACAUUCUUCUUCUAAGGCAGAAGGUUCAGUAAUAUGUACUGUUCUUGUGAUAUCUGUAGUUCCAUCGACAUAGUGAGCUCCACUAUGGAGCAAGAAAAGUUUUUGAGGGUCUACACGACUGCAGCUCUCUGGCUCUGGUUUAUAAUGUAUAAUAAUAGCACCAUUUGCUCCGGAACCUGCAUGAGUAAUUUGAGAGGAAAAUAAUGAAAACCACUCACAGAGUGUCUUGUCUUAUGACAGGUAUGGUAUUAUAAUCGAGAAUCACGCUCAAGUUGCAAGGAUGGAAAUAACCAUACCGCUUAUGGUAUCGAAGCUUGUAACCAGAAAACCAUCUUGCAUUAUUCUUGUGCACUUCCUCUUUGAGCCAGGCUCGGAAAUGAGCUAGAGCAGCAGCAUAUAAGCAAAUACUAAAAUAUGUGGUCAACUGAAGAAAAUUACCAAAAAGAAAGCAAACUUUUCGAGAUGGGAAACUUGUAUCCUCUAAAAAAGGUUAGAUUAGGAGAAGAAGAUACUGCAAUUGAUUUUCUUACCCCAAGUGAGAAAUCUUCAUGUAAAUCCCAGAGGGU
Molecule: long non-coding RNA, 3856 nt
Organism: Eutrema salsugineum
Lineage: Eukaryota; Viridiplantae; Streptophyta; Magnoliopsida; Brassicales; Brassicaceae
Exons: 5
Source: RefSeq, a predicted model, not a curated record